UCCAGAGGAAGGCUCGUCCGCUCUGGGUUAGUCGGGUCCUAAGCUGAGGCCGACAGGCGUAGGCGAUGGAUAACAGGUUGAUAUUCCUGUACCACCUAUAAUCGUUUUAAUCGAUGGGGGGACGCAGUAGGAUAGGCGAAGCGUGCGAUUGGAUUGCACGUCUAAGCAGUAAGGCUGAGUAUUAGGCAAAUCCGGUACUCGUUAAGGCUGAGCUGUGAUGGGGAGAAGACAUUGUGUCUUCGAGUCGUUGAUUUCACACUGCCGAGAAAAGCCUCUAGAUAGAAAAUAGGUGCCCGUACCGCAAACCGACACAGGUAGUCAAGAUGAGAAUUCUAAGGUGAGCGAGCGAACUCUCGUUAAGGAACUCGGCAAAAUGACCCCGUAACUUCGGGAGAAGGGGUGCUCUUUAGGGUUAACGCCCAGAAGAGCCGCAGUGAAUAGGCCCAAGCGACUGUUUAUCAAAAACACAGGUCUCUGCUAAACCGUAAGGUGAUGUAUAGGGGCUGACGCCUGCCCGGUGCUGGAAGGUUAAGAGGAGUGGUUAGCUUCUGCGAAGCUACGAAUCGAAGCCCCAGUAAACGGCGGCCGUAACUAUAACGGUCCUAAGGUAGCGAAAUUCCUUGUCGGGUAAGUUCCGACCCGCACGAAAGGCGUAACGAUUUGGGCACUGUCUCAACGAGAGACUCGGUGAAAUCAUAGUACCUGUGAAGAUGCAGGUUACCCGCGACAGGACGGAAAGACCCCGUGGAGCUUUACUGUAGCCUGAUAUUGAAAUUCGGCACAGCUUGUACAGGAUAGGUAGGAGCCUUUGAAACGUGAGCGCUAGCUUACGUGGAGGCGCUGGUGGGAUACUACCCUAGCUGUGUUGGCUUUCUAACCCGCACCACUUAUCGUGGUGGGAGACAGUGUCAGGCGGGCAGUUUGACUGGGGCGGUCGCCUCCUAAAAGGUAACGGAGGCGCUCAAAGGUUCCCUCAGAAUGGUUGGAAAUCAUUCAUAGAGUGUAAAGGCAUAAGGGAGCUUGACUGCGAGACCUACAAGUCGAGCAGGGUCGAAAGACGGACUUAGUGAUCCGGUGGUUCCGCAUGGAAGGGCCAUCGCUCAACGGAUAAAAGCUACCCCGGGGAUAACAGGCUUAUCUCCCCCAAGAGUUCACAUCGACGGGGAGGUUUGGCACCUCGAUGUCGGCUCAUCGCAUCCUGGGGCUGUAGUCGGUCCCAAGGGUUGGGCUGUUCGCCCAUUAAAGCGGUACGCGAGCUGGGUUCAGAACGUCGUGAGACAGUUCGGUCCCUAUCCGUCGUGGGCGUAGGAAAUUUGAGAGGAGCUGUCCUUAGUACGAGAGGACCGGGAUGGACAUACCUCUGGUGUACCAGUUGUCGUGCCAACGGCAUAGCUGGGUAGCUAUGUGUGGACGGGAUAAGUGCUGAAAGCAUCUAAGCAUGAAGCCCCCCUCAAGAUGAGAUUUCCCAACUUCGGUUAUAAGAUCCCUCAAAGAUGAUGAGGUUAAUAGGUUCGAGGUGGAAGCAUGGUGACAUGUGGAGCUGACGAAUACUAAUCGAUCGAAGACUUAAUCAA
RNAcentral lists this ribosomal RNA (1574 nucleotides) under Staphylococcus aureus. RNAcentral describes it as "partial 23S ribosomal RNA". It matches the Rfam family "Bacterial large subunit ribosomal RNA", at positions 1353 to 2925 of the family's 2925-position model. The record is from RNAcentral. Lineage: Bacteria; Bacillati; Bacillota; Bacilli; Caryophanales; Staphylococcaceae.